UGGGGAAUUUUGGACAAUGGGCGCAAGCCUGAUCCAGCCAUGCCGCGUGCGGGAAGAAGGCCUUCGGGUUGUAAACCGCUUUUGUCAGGGAAGAAAUCUUCUGAGUUAAUACCUCGGGAGGAUGACGGUACCUGAAGAAUAAGCACCGGCUAACUACGUGCCAGCAGCCGCGGUAAUACGUAGGGUGCAAGCGUUAAUCGGAAUUACUGGGCGUAAAGCGUGCGCAGGCGGUUUUGUAAGACAGAGGUGAAAUCCCCGGGCUCAACCUGGGAACUGCCUUUGUGACUGCAAGGCUUGAGUGCGGCAGAGGGGGAUGGAAUUCCGCGUGUAGCAGUGAAAUGCGUAGAUAUGCGGAGGAACACCGAUGGCGAAGGCAAUCCCCCUGGGCCUGCACUGACGCUCAUGCACGAAAGCGUGGGGAGCAAACAGGAUUAGAUACCCUGGUAGUCCACGCCCUAAACGAUGUCAACUGGUUGUUGGGAAGGUUCCUUCUCAGUAACGUAGCUAACGCGUGAAGUUGACCGCCUGGGGAGUACGGCCGCAAGGUUGAAACUUAAAUGAAUUGACGGGGU
RNAcentral lists this ribosomal RNA (572 nucleotides) under uncultured bacterium. RNAcentral's name for it is "partial 16S ribosomal RNA". It matches the Rfam family "Bacterial small subunit ribosomal RNA", at positions 355 to 919 of the family's 1533-position model. The record is from RNAcentral.